GACAGAGGUCCCAAGCGUUAGGCGGAAUCACUGGGCUUAAAGCGUGUGUAGGCGGAUUUGUAAGUACGUUGUGAAAUCCCGCGGCUCAACCGUGGAACUGCUUGGUAUACUGCUUAUCUUGGGCCAUCUAGGGGCGAGCGGAACAAACGGUGGAGCGGUGAAAUGCGUAGAUAUCGUUUGGAACGCCAAUGGUGAAAACAGCUCGCUGGGGAUGUGCCGACGCUGAGACACGAAAGCCAGGGGAGCGAACGGG
Molecule: ribosomal RNA, 253 nt
Filed under: uncultured bacterium
Lineage: Bacteria
Description: partial 16S ribosomal RNA
Rfam family: Bacterial small subunit ribosomal RNA
Source: RNAcentral